AUUAAACUUAUUUGUUCUGACUUUGCAUUCUCGAAUUGCCAACAAGUGCAGAUGAAAACUCUUGUUAUAUGACAAAUAAGCUUUAAAAAGCUCACUGCCAGACAUAUGUAUGUGAAAGAAGAUGAAUAACUGAACUGAGAUGCAAAUAUGCCUUAUUUGUAUGUGCAAGAUAAAGUUGUUUGUUGUACAGAAAAGUAAGUGACUUCUUAAGAAUGAAAUGAAGUAGAAUAUGGCAAAGGCUUGCAGAACUGCUUUUGAAAUUUAUUAGUCGUUCUAGGGGGACUUUGAACUGUAAAUUAAAGAAAACAAGUAUCAGCAGUCCGAACAUUUGGGUCUUUUGAGGAUAUGGAUAUCUUGCUAAACAAGGACAAAGUCUGAAACAGUGAGGAAUGUAGUAGAAGCUUUCUGGUUUCAGUAAAUGAAGGGACUGAGGUGAAGAUGGAUGAAUAUUAAGUGUCAAGCUGUCUGGUGCCCUAUGAGGAAGAAAUUAGAAGGCAAAUUGUUGUAUUUAGGAAGGCUGCAGAUGAGAUGCACGCAGGAGCUGUGUUGGGGUUUCUCACUGGAAAGUGCUGCCUAUGGACCUGGCUGUCUCUUGAAACAGAUAUUACUCCAUCUCCUUCAGUCUACAGGCUGACCUCUAAAGAUGACAAGAAUCUGGAAAUGUGCCUUAUCACGGAUUACUCCCCUGAAAAGCUUAAUCUUAGCUCAAUUGAUAGUAAGACAGAAACUGUUGUGGAGUUGGCAACAUCUGAGAACAAAUAUGAAGCGAGCUACCUGUCAACCUACUGGGCCAAGAAGGAUGAAAUGCACUGUGGUGCCAUGCACGAGGGAUUUGGAGAACUAGGAGAUGAUCCUGAAGCUGGUGCCAGCACUGUCUGCAUUACAGGGAUGCCACUGCACUUCAAGACAGAUGAGAACCUGAACACGCUGACCUUUUCACAACUGGGCCUGAAAAUAAUUCUAAUGAAAGCAAUAAUUUUUAACGUGCUGAUGACGAUGCUUAUGUGGAAAAAAAAUGAAUGA
This 1023-nucleotide long non-coding RNA is filed under the name Phasianus colchicus (ring-necked pheasant). Its description in RNAcentral is "lncRNA (ENSPCLG00000014156.1)". The record is from RNAcentral. Lineage: Eukaryota; Metazoa; Chordata; Aves; Galliformes; Phasianidae.